Molecule: long non-coding RNA, 271 nt
Organism: Sinocyclocheilus anshuiensis
Lineage: Eukaryota; Metazoa; Chordata; Actinopteri; Cypriniformes; Cyprinidae
Exons: 3
Source: RefSeq, a predicted model, not a curated record
UUACAACACGUUUAUGGAGUUUUUAUUUCCUUUAUUUCCUGAUCACUCUAUGUUUUCAUUCUUAGGAAAAGAUCGACAUUUCCUUUUGUGUUCCUUUGAAGAAAGAAAGUCAUACAAAUUUGAACAAUGAUCUCCAGCUGGCCCAAGUGGACCUGGUCUUCCUGGACGACCUGGAUCGCCCUGAGAAGAAAGUACCUUUUCUCCCAGAGCCCCCGCAAGACCAGGUUCUCCAACAUCUCCAGGGUAGCCAUCAGGACCCUGUAAAAGGCAC